UAGUAGGUGUGUGUUUUAUUCCCGUCCUACCCCUAGGCUCUUCAUGACAUUUUUUUUUCUUAGAUUCCACAUAUAUGUGUUAGCAUACGGUAUUUGUUUUUCUCCUUCUGACUUACUUCACUCUGUAUGACAGUCUCUAGGUCCUUCCACCUCACUACAAAUAACUCAGUUUCAUUUCCUUUUAUGGCUCAGUAAUAUUCCAUUGUAUAUAUGUGCCACAUCUUCUUUAUCCAUUCAUCCGUUGAUGGACACUUAGGUUGGUUCCAUGUCCUGGCUAUUUUAAAUAGCCUGCACUUAUUUUUAACCUAUUAUAUAUUGGGGAGCUAUUCCCCUGAAUACAUAGAAAGGCUUGGAAUUCUUUUUACAACUGCAUAUGAUUUCACUGUAUAGAUAUACUGUCAUUUACUUGAUCAGUUCCUUAUUACGGACAUUUGGGUUAUUUCCGACCCUUCACUAUUACCAACAGGGCUGCAGUGACUAAUUGUAACAUAUGGAUGUCACUUUGUAUGUAUAUAAUGAUAUUUAUGGGAUAAACUCCCAGAAGUGGGACUGCUGGGUCAUAGCAUGAGCAUCUGUCAUUCUGAUGGGUAUCACCAAAGCUGUCCUCCAUGGGGCUGGGACAGUUCACAUCCCUUUAGCCUCCCAGGAGUCUUACUGCUCUGGGAGAAAAUUUGCAAGGGACGCCAGAAGCCUUGCAACAGGUAUGUCUCGAGACGAGGUGAUUCCACUUCCAGGAGUUAUCACAGGGAGGGAUUCAUCAGGUUUUCAAAGAUUAAGCUACAAAGAUGGACAUCUCUGUGUCAUUCAUAGUUAAAAAAAAACCUUGAAAAUCAGAAAAGUGGCCUACAGGACACUGGUUGAAUAAUUCAUGGUAUGCAUGAAGGUUGGAACGCUAAACGGGCAUGAAAAAGUACAAUUGAGAAGGUAAAUUUACAAUUGUUAAGGGGAGAAAAGUAGGUCACAAAACUCUGCUUUCAGAAUGCUCCCAUUUUAAAAACAAAGAGUAACAUGUACACUUUUAAAUGUUCUCUCCCUCUGCCUCAAUUUCCACACCUGUAAAACGAGGGCAGUAAUAAUCAGCUCACUGAGCUAUUGUGAAGAAUAAAUGAGUUAAAAUUUUUAAGGUGCUUAGAACGGUAUCUGGUACAGAGGAAGCUUCAAGUCAGGGUUAGUUAAAAUUAGUGUUAUCAUUAUUAUCAUUCUCACUAUUAAUUAUAUUCUAAUUGCAUAAGAGAAAGGUCUGGCAGACAAUACAACAAAAGUUUAACCAUCUCAGCAAGACUUGGAGUUACUGUUACUUUGAAAAGUUUUGCUUUUCUUUAUUUUCUUUUCUUCUGUCUCUGUCUCUCUCUUUUACAACGAACGUGUGUUAUUUCUGUAAUACAUAUUAUUUCGUGAAGUGCAAAAGAAGGGAGAAGAACGCAAUUCUGAGGUAGUCUUGGAAAUCUACUCAGCAGAGCCCCAGAAAAUGAUGUGGAAAGAAAAGGCAGGAGGCUUUCUUGAUCUGGCAGCUCAGCCUUGGGCAGGGCCAGUCCUACACACUAGGAAGAAGGCAACUCCCUGUGACAGGCAAUUGGAGGGAAGGGGAAGGCGCUCCCUGACCACAGGCACAAGGUUUUCAGGGACUUUAACAAUUAGAAUGAUAACAGAAAUGUGCAAAUACAGCCGGUAGCCCAAGAGGGUCGUAAGAUGGGGGCGUGACUCACUGCCUGCUAUGCCCGUAGUCCCCAUUCCGAGACAGGGCAGAAAUUCAGUCAAUGUUUCCUGAAGGAACAAGGCUCUGCUGUCUGAGCUUGGGAACGUUCUUUCACCUCCCUGAGUCUCAGUUUCCUCCACCACCAAAUGGGGAUAUUAGUGAUCUUGCAGAGACUGCUGUGAGGAUAAAAACAAAAAUCUGUACAUAGAGUAGUAGCACCUCACUCAAAUGAGGUACCAGGCAGGUACAUGGCAUUUGUUGAGUAAAUAAAUGAAAAGAAGGAAUGACACUGACAGGAGCUUAUUCACACUAAAGUGUGAAUGACUGACACCAUUUUUUCCUAAAAAGCAGCUUUGUAGGGCAUAAACGGAGAAGCUGGAAGAGAUCUUGUACAUAAGCCAGACUCUGUGCCAUGUGCUGCGCUAUGCACUAAGCGUGCAUUUAUCCUGUGUACUUUCCAUCUGACGUGUACAGAAAUUUAGUCACUUGAGAUCAAGUGACUUACCCAAGGUCACACAGCAAGCAGAUGGCACAGCCAGGAUUUAAACCAACGCAUGACUCAAAAGUCCUUGCCAAAAAGCCCUGGAUGUCAACAUGGACAAUGGCAUGAGGAGGGAAGGGGGCCUGGGGGGUCCAUCAGAGUCAAACUCCGCACUCUGCAUCAUGCCAAAUCACCCCAAGGGCAGACUGAACAUGUGCUCAGGGCGCUAGGAAAGCAGCCCCAGUUCCCUUCCAUCUUCCCCCACACUGGAAAAUAGUUCCACUUUGAUAUUUCGAAGGAAAGCACGGAGAUAAAUGCUCAUGAAGCAAAUCAAGACCUUAUCAGUUUUCUCUACAUUUAAGUUUAGCCUUGGUUUCUGUUUGCAUGUCCUAUGGGGAGGAAACACCAUAACACGUAUGUCUUAGGACAUUAGGACUUAAUUCCCCUGCGGUCUUGGGGCCCCUCCAGACCUCACCCAGCUCCUGCUGUGCUAUGCCAGGCCCGCAAGAGUUUGAGGGGGGAGGGAAAAUAGGGACCCCCCCUCCCCCUGCUUCCCUCGGGCUCCCAGGCUGCGCGCGGGUGCGCGGGUGCUCCCCAGGGCCGCGGCCUCAGCUCCCCUGACCCGCAGCUUCUCACCACCCAGCCUUUAGACAAGGCGUUCACUGCCCAGGCAUGUUCCAAGCCACCGGCUCGAGUCCCAGCCAGUCCAGGCCUGUUGCAAUGAGUCAGCCUUUCGCUGGGGAAAAUCGUGGUGACUGGCCCGCAAGUCACUUUUUCCGGCUUGGCCCUCGUCCUGAGCUAGGUUUAAGGAGGCCUUCCUUUUUCCCUUUGGGAUUCUGCUGCCUAUGAGGUGUUCCCCAGGGGUCCUGGGAAGCUCGGGGGCUGGAAUUCCUUUAUGGGGCGGUAGCUCGACUUGCUUCAGUUGAGCCAGAUGACGGUCUCUCGACGUAUCCACCUGGUCUCUCCACCCACACAAGGGAGAGUAGAGGCCACAAAGGUUAAAGCUGCAUCUCCUACGCAGGCUGCGGGCAUUUACUGAUACCCUUUACUGACAGUCAGGUUCUGGGCUUUGGGGCUGCAGUGGCGCACAGAACAGUCAUGCUCCUGCCUUCACGAAGAGGAGCAUCUGAGGGAGACACAGGUACUGACCAGAUCACAACACAAGCAGAUACCAGCCAUCCACAACAAAUAUGAAGGAAGAAUACACGAGGGCAGACAGCAGGGCUGGGUGAGGUCUGCGGUGUUCAGAGAAGGCUCGCCUGAGAUGGGAUGGAUAAGGAGGAUGUCUGGUUGGGUGGGAAGGGGGUGAAAAAUGGUGUUUGUUAUGGGUUAUACUGUGUCCCCCCCCAAAGAGAGGUUCGGGUUCUAACAUCCCAACACCUCAGAGUGUGAUCUAAUUUGGAAACAGGGGUCUUCACAGAGGUAAUCAAGUUAACAUGAGGUCAUGAGGGUGAGCCCUCAUCCAAUGUGACUGAUGUCCUUAUCAAAAGGGGACAUUUGGACAUGGGACAGAUAUGACACAGGGAGGAUGCCAUGUGAAGAUAAUGGCAGAGAUCAGAGGGAGGCAUCUACAGGCCAAGGAAUAAAAGGUGGUCAGCAAAUCACCCGAAGCUGGGAGAGAGGACUGGAACAGAAGGCACCAACCCUGCUGACACCUUGAUCUCAGACUUCCAGCAUCCAGAACUUGAGACCAUAAAUUUCUGUUGUUUAAGACACCCAGUUUGUGGUCCUUUGUUACGGCAGCCCUAGCAAAGUGUGUUCCAGGCAGAGGAAAUUCCAAGUGCAAAAGCUCUGAAGGGAGGCGGUGGUGAGGCAGAUUUGAGAAAGAAGUUACCCCUGGCUGGAAUGCAGAGUCAGAAAUUCCUUUAUCUCUAAUGAGAGGGAAGUGGAUCAAUGUGGGUGCCUCCAGCGACGAUAGGGAUAGCAAUAAAAAUAAUAACCACCUUGAAGAUGUAUAGCGUGUAUGAGAUAAGCCUGGAGAGGCAGGAAGUGACUGAGCUAUGCAGAGGCUUCCUUGUAAGAAUGAGGAUUGGAGCCUUUAACCCGAAGAGAGAGAGAAAGCAAUCAGAAAUCGCAGGGCAGGUGACCUGGCAUCUACUUUGAGCUGUGUUACCUUGGGCAAAUUGCUUUCUGUCUCUGUGCCUUAGUUGUGUGAUCUCUUAUCUGGGACGUUCCAUGACCAUGUGACUAGCAGUGUGCUUAAGGGUGCCAUCCUAUGUGUGAUGGGCAGGGUGAGGGGGAAGAGAGAAGACUAAAAAGAGUAUCCAAUAUCAUUUUUGUUCUUGUGGAGCUUAUAAUCUACUGGGGGAAACAACAUGCAUUCAGGCCAGGGCACAAUAAACGUGCUAAGUGUGGUAAGAGGACAGCCUCAGACAUUCUCAGGGGCUGAAGUGGAGGCUCCCCGACUGGGGUCCUGAUAGCUGGGUAGGCCCCUAGUGUCUGUGUCUGUGCUGUGCAACUCCAUCUCCCCUUGGUGCCCUCCACCCCCUAUAGCUGACUGAUCCUGGGAAGAAACACAUGACCCAAGGAGAGCCAAUCAGAAUCUUUCCAUGAGAUUUUUUUUUCAUUUUUGGUUUGGAUCUAGGGAAGAAAAUUCAGUUUCUCUUUAAGGAAACAGGAUGCUCUUGAUGGCCAUGUUCGCUGCCACAUAGAGGGAGCUGGUUUGAGGGAAUAGAGCUGACAGGCAGAGAGAGAGAAGAGAUAAGAUGGUAGAGACAGACAGCAAGAUAACACAUGAGUGAGCCCCUUAGCCGUCCUGAGGCCUUGGCUGCACUUCUGCUUUUCCUGUGCAUACACCAAUUACCCCCAGAGUCAUCACCCCACAUUUCUAUUUUUGCCUGAGCUGUUGCAGAGGAGUUUCUGAGGCUUACAAUCAUUAUAGUUCUGACUCUCACUGGGUCUGCUGUGUAAACUGUUGGUUAAUGAAGUGACAGAGACCCUGCACUUGGCCCUAGUGUGUGUUAUCCUGUCAGGGACCAAGAAGCUGGCCCUGCCCUCCUAGGAAACUCUCACUGGGGUUGUGAGAGGCUGUCCUCACUUUUAUCCUACGCAAGGCGAUGCCUCCAUGAGCUUUGCCUCAUUUGUUUUUGCUCUGCAAACCCUAAAAGGCAGAAGUUACCACCCACUUCCCAUCUUACCAUUGAGGAAACUGAGCCUCAGGGGAGAAGAAAUAACUUUGUAUGUAAGUGGGAGAGCGCUUUGUAAACCCUUUGGUCCUUAAGACAAUGCACACAAGACAAAAGUAACCCUGGGCAGUUCAAGCUCUGAUCAGGGAAGGAAUAAUUGUCCUUCAUUCAUGAAUCUAUCAGUAAACAUUUUCCUGCCGAUAAAGAAGGGAAAUUACCAAAGGUUGGUGCGGAGUCUAAAGUGAGAGUUCAGGAAGGCAGGCAUUAUCUUUUCUCUCCACGAGCCCAGUAACAGUUAUACACACAGCGUUGUGAGAUGUUUAAUAAAUGUUUGCUGAAGAAGGAUAAGAAUGGUAUCUUAUUUAUUGAGUACUUACUAUGUGCCAGGCACUGUUCUGAAUGCUUUGUAGGUAGUCAUUUAGCUAACCAUCACCCAACCUGAUGAGGUCGGUACUAUUAUGCCCACUCUAGAGAUGAGAAGACUGAGGCAGAGAGAAAAAGUGGGUAACUAGCUGAACUCACACAGGUAGUAACUGUCAGAGCGACCUCCAGCUACCUGGUUCCCAUGUGCACUCUUAACCAUUGGACUAUACUGCCUGUUUCUGAAUGAAUGAAUGAAAGCACACAAGCUAGUUACAGACACACACAUAUACAUGUGUUUAAGGAGAGCUUGUUUAAGUUUAAGUGGAGCAGAGCAGAUGGGGAGGAGAGCCAUGUAGUAGUGAGGCUGGGAGAAAUUUAAGCUCCAUAAAAUUCUCCAAAUAAGUGGGUUGUGAAUGAGCCUUAAAGAUGGGUAGGACUUUUGAAUGUCAAAAGAAAGAUAUGGGGGCUUCCCUGGUGGCGCAGUGGUUGCGCGUCCGCCUGCCGAUGCAGGGGAACCGGGUUCGCGCCCCGGUCCGGGAGGAUCCCACAUGCCGCGGAGCGGCUGGGCCCGUGAGCCAUGGCCGCUGGGCCUGCGCGUCCGGAGCCUGUGCUCCGCAACGGGAGAGGCCACAGCAGAGGGAGGCCCGCAUACCACAAAAAAAAAAAAAAAAAAAAAAAACCAGAAAGAUAUGGACACUUCGGUCUGGAAUCUCCUUAUUCUCAAACUCACGUAAUAAUUGUUUUCAGGACUUGAGAGCUUUCUCUGUGCCCAGCACCCUACCUACUUCAUCUUCUGCAUCUUGCUACCCCCUCGGUGUCAGAGGCCCCCCAUUCACUCUUCCGAGCUGCUCCCUCACCCUUGCAGACCAGAGGAAGGUCAGCCUCAUUGGUCACUCUUUUCAAAGCCACAGAAUCUUCCCUUGAUAAUGACCGAAGCUGCGAAACCAAAAAUUGACCUACACUCAUGGCGUCUACAGCCCAAAGAGUUAAGACCAGAAAGACCCAGAACUCUGGCCUGUGAGUAGGCCAAGACCCAGACUUGGACUAGAUCCAUCGAUGAGGGUUGAAGGGCUUCAGUGGGGAUGGCAGAGCCCGGGGUGGUCACUUUAUCUGCAGCUGUCUUUGCUGGAGGACUAGAUUUCACUCCCUAUCUCUGCUGGAGAUCUCUCGAGCACCCAUUGCACCCUGGUGCGGAACGGCCUGCUUGUGAGCUUUGAGGCCCAGCCAACCACGAGACAAGAAAAGACACAGCCCGACUUCAAAGGGCUGCAGAAGACCAGGGCAGUCGAGCAGAGCCUGGUGACCCCACGGUGAAUCUGGCUGCAUCAGGAUCAAGCCAGCGUAAGGCAGGAUGGGGCCCUGCCCUGCAGGCUUGAGGAGCACCUAAAAUGUCAAUGGAGAUCUGAUAGGAAUUUAUUUUCCAUGCAGCCUCAUCUUUCAGGAGAACAACCUCUGGGGUCUUUCGGAGGAGUCCAAGGGAUAAAAGCCCUUCCGGAGAAAAACAGCCCUUAAAAAAGGCACCCUCAAAACAGACUCAUGCGCUUAGCUGUGCACCUGAAACUAUCACAACACUGUUAAUUGGCUAUACUCCAAUAUAAAAUAAAAAGUUAAAAAAAAAACCAGACCCAUAGAUGCAGAGAGCAAACAGGUGGCUGCCAGAAGGGAGGGCUUCGGGGGUGGGGGAAGUAGGUGAAGGGGAUAAAGAGGUAAAAACCUCCAGUUAUAUAAUGAAUAACUCAUGGGGAUAUAAUGUACAGCAUAAGAAAUAUGGUCAAUAAUAUUGUAAUAACUUUGUACGAGGACAGAUGGUUACUAGACCACUCGUGGUGAUCAUUUCAUGAAGUAUGCAAAUAUCAAACCAUUAUGUAAAAUACCUGAAACUAACAAGCUAUUGUACGUCAACUACAUUUCAAUUUUUAAAAACUGUUUUAAAUCUUUUUAAAAAAUUUGCACCCUCACUCUUAGACACGCGAGAACUUUAUAACUUUGGAGCAUUUUCUUUGUUCCUUAAGCUAUGCUAAGAACUUUAUUUGCACAACCUCACUUAAUCCUCAGGACACCUGGAUGUAGAGACGAUGACACUCCUUAGUGUAAGCGAUGGGGAAACUGAGGUUCACAGGCAUCUUCCAGGUCAUAUAGCUAGCAAGUGGCAGAGCCAGGAGGCAAACUCAGCUCUGACUUCAAAUUCCUUGGUCUUAACCCCGAUGCUACACGUUCACCAAAACCUAGAUAUUUCACUCUCACCUGUUCACCCAGCAGAUAUUUCUUAAGCACCUACUAUGUGACAGGCACUGUUUUAGAUGCUGGGGACACAGCAGUGUGUAAGUGAAACAGACAAAAUCCCCUGCCCUCAUGAAGCAUACAAUACAUCAACGAAAUCAAAACAGCAUUAAAAGGCAGAGACUUGUCUCCAUUUUACUGAUAAGGCAACUGAGGCAGGUGUUCCUCAUGGUCUGUUUAUUCCCCAAAUCCAUUCCGUCGUGUUCUGUUGUUUGACAAAUAGGCCUUGAAAACUUACUAGGGGUCAGGUGCUGCUCUAGGCAUGGGGGCCCGAGGGGUAAACCAAACGGAUGUGGCCCCUGCCCUCGUGGAAUUGACAUUCUGGUCUGAUUUCUCUUUCUGUCUUUCUAAGCUGUAGCUGCUGCUCAGGGAACAUGCGCCGUGCUGACUUAUGCCCCUAGGAAGCUGAGGCAGAAGUUAUGAGAAAUAACCAAAUCAGCACGAGUGUUGGGGGUCACAGAUGCCCUUUGCCCUCUCCCCUCCCCAUGGUGACCCCUGACCCACAAUGUGUUAGCAGGAGCUCGAGGGUAGAAGUCAGUAGCUCUGAGUCUUAACUAGCUGUGUGACUGAGCUAGUCAUUUAAGCUCUCCCAGCUUCACCUUCCUCACUGUAAAAUGAAAAUAGAAGCACCUGACUUGUUGGCAGAUUUGCAAGAUGAUAAUGAAUUCAAAUGAAAUUAUGGCUGUAUGAGAACUUCUGGAUUUAUCUCCUAAGUCCUAUAUUCUAAUGUAAUGUCUUUCGUUCCUCACUUCCUAUAACCACAGUGCUUCAGAAAGGAGCUCCUAAACUCAUUCAUAUGAAGGUAUAAAUAACUGAUAAGCUUUUAACUCUUGCCCUUCCCAGGCCUAGAGGCUUUCUCAUAAGGAAAAACUUCUGAUUCUGGCAAAAAUGGAGUAACAGGAGCCAGAUUUACUCUCCUACCUGAAACAAAAAGUACCCUAACUGUGUCCUAGACAAAACUUGAUAAUAUUUAUAAGAGUGAAAAAAUAUCCAGUGCCCAAGAAAGGAAAAUUCUCAAUGUCUGCCAUCCAAUCCGACGAAGUCCCAGCUGGCAAUAUCCUGGACUAGAAUAUAAGCUCCCCGAGGGCAGGGAUUUUUGUCUGCUUUAUUCUCUGCUGUAUACCCGGUUCCUAGAAGAGUAACUGACGCAUAGUAGGUACUCAGUAACUACUUGUUGAGGAAUGAAUGAAUGACAGAGCCUGUCACACACCAGUGAGGAGAGUGGGAAGUCUGGGCAGAGCCCCAGAGAUCACCCAGGGCUUAAGGUCUGCCAGACUGAUCAGUUCCUCAAAUCAGCCCAAGCAUGGGAGACGACACCCUCCAAACAGUGACAGCCUCGAGGGGAGGGCGCCCCUAGGACAAGCCCUGUCAUCACGGAGGGAGGAAAAGGAAAGCUUGUACUCAGCGAUAACCAUCGUUGUGAACCACUGCUCCCCGCGGCGCCCCCUCCCGUCAGCCUGGCCUGUUUCCUGGGAGGUGAGACCCUGUUUUCUACAUCCUGAACAUGGCGAGGUUUCAUCACUGGCUGAAGGCAAGGCAACGAAGGUUGGAUGUCAAGGACCCGGUGGUAAAUCAUGUCGGAGUUGGGGUCGGGGGAGGCGGGCAGCUGUCGAUGUGACCCCCAUAGUUGGACGGAAUCUGCUCAACCAUUUGUUAAUCCUCUCAUUCCGCACAAAGUGAUAUGGGUCACUCUGGGUGGGAUCACUCCUCGUGGCUGCGUGGAGUCUCCGGAAACAAAAACAAAAAUGGUGGUGAUUAAAAGAGUUAUAAAAAGCCACCAUUUCCUGAGUGAUGCCUUCAAAAGGCAGUGUGCUGGAGGGGCUAGGAGCGUGGCCCUGAGCCAGUCUACUUGAGCUCCUCGUCUCACCUCUACUCUGCCUUACCAGCAGUGUGACUCUGGGCCAGUUACCUAUCCUCUCUGACCUCCAUUUCCUUGUCUCUAAAAUAGGCUGUUGCAAUGAGUUAACACAUCUAAAGCACUUAGAACUCUGUGGCUAUUUCCUUGCCUGGUGUGCUGUUAAACACUUUCCAGCCUUCGGCUGAAGGGGAAAUGGUACUGUGGUUAAGAGCUCUGAGUUGUAACUUGGGCACCCCCUUUUCACUGUGUGACCUUGGGCAAAUAACUUACCCUCUCUGAACCAAGUAAUGCAAAGUAAACUCCAUGGAGGUGGGGAAUUCUGUUUUGUUCACUCCUCUCUCUCCAGGGCCUUUAAGCCAUGCCUGGCUCCAUAAACAUCUCUUGAAUGUAUAAAUGAAUACAUAAUAAUCAGAACUAGCUACAUAAUUUGCAGGGCCCAGUGCAAAAUGAAAAUGCAGGGUUCCUUGUCAAAAAAUUGUUAAAAAUUUCAAGACAGCAGUGGCUGAGUCUAAAACCCAGUGUAGGGCCCUUGGAAGUGUGUGGUGGCCCUGCACGACUGCACGGGCCGUGUGCCCACAGAGCUGGCUCCCAUAACAAUCCCUACCCCACGUUGUCCACAUGACGAUAAAGUAAACACCGCACGCAGAGCAAUGAGCGCAAGCUUGGCCCAGAGCAGGCUCUCCGUGUUUGCUGAUAGCACUCGCGUCAGAUUUAACGUUCCCCCACUGCCCUAGCAGAGCAGACAGGUGUGAGCCCAUUUCACAGGUGAGGGAAGUGAGGCUGAGGGGGGCAACGAAAUGACUCCUUCACUGUCCCACUGGUUCUGAUGGUAGGAUUUGAACCCAGGUGGAGCCGAUGCCGACUCGAUGGUGAGGGAACAGUGAGUGGAGGAAGGGAGAAGGCCCAGAAGUCUGGGGGCAGCCGGCAAGGCGGAGUCCCGGGUUGGAACAGCGGCUCCUUCCUUAGGGCUGAUUGUCCGAUGCCCCCCGGAUUUGUUCCUGUUGGUCAGUGGGGAACCCACAGGCCCGACAGGCUCCGAAGCUGGGAAACGGGGAGCGGCUCUGCCUGUCCUAUGACACACCAUGAGCAGAGGUGGGGUCCCAGCCGGCCUCCCCUCUCCCCCUCCUCCAAGCCUAGCUCAGAGUCAAGGGAGGCCUGGGCUAAUGGGGCAGAGCCCAGGCUGGCCACGGAGGCUUGGAUUUAUGGGUUAAAACCCAGCCUCUGCCACUGACAGCCCCCGAUGCCUCCAUCCCUUCCCUGGGGUCUGGAAGGCCGCUGUGACCCAGGCCCACCUGCUUUCCCAUCUCCCCUCCUCCCACGCUCCUCCCUGUUCACAUGAGUCCCUCCUUGGGGCUCCUGUUAACCCACCAGGCCUUUCCCACCCCAGGGCCUUUGCUCUCACUGUUGGUCCUGCUGAGAUCAACCUUCCCUGGGCUCUUUCUCACCCAUCCAAAGCUAGCUCAGAUGUCACCUGUGAAGAAAACCUUCCCCCAGCGUCCCUUCUAAAACACCACUAUAGGGAAUUCCCGGUCAGUCCAGUGGUUAGAACUCGGCGCUUUCACUGUGGGAGCCCGAGUUCGAUCCCUGGUUGCAGAACUAAGAUCCCGUGAGCCGUGCAGCGCGGCCUCUGCAUAUACCCCCACCGACCCUCCAUCUCCUCGCGCUGCAUGCUCCUGAUACCAAUCUGCAGGUACCUUCCUUACCGAUGGGCUUAUUUGCUCAUGGCUGGAAUCCUCCAUUAGAACAUAUACGUGUAAACUUGAGGCAGGGCCUGUACUCUGGGGUCCCUCUGGCUCAUCCAGGACAGUGGCCACUAUAUGGUGGGGACUCAGUAAGUAUCUGAUGAGUCAGUGGAUGAAUGAGUAGGUGUACAACACUGUGCUCCUGAGUCUUAGUUUCCCCAUCUGUAAAAUGGGAUUAAUACCUGCUCCUCAAGGAGGAUGUGUGCAUUAAAAUAAAGUUGCCAUUGGUGGGGAGGGAUAGAUUGGGAGUGUGGGAUUGACAUGUACACUGCUCUAUUUAAAAUAGAGGGGCUGGACCCUGGGUCUUGAGAAGUUCCCCCAGGAGGCUCCAUGAAGACCCAACGCAGGGAGACAGUCCUGGGGGCUCCAAGCAGAGGCCACUUUGGGAAAGAAGACUGGCCGGAAAUUCUCUGAGGGGUUCCUCGUUUGGGGAUUUCGCUGUUCUCUCCUGACCAUCCCAUGCCAUCCACCCCCACGCAGUCCCGCCCUUCCCAACCACACACCAAGAAUAAACCUCAUACCCCGAGGGCCUCGCUGUCACAGUUUCCUGCCGCUAUGGUCACGGGCUGCCUGGGCGGGCUCCGGGGGAUUUUCCAGCUCAGACAUACGCUUAGUGGGACCUGAAGCGAUGUAACAUAAGAGGGGCUGUGAUGCAGACCCAGAAGCAGGAAAACCCCAGGCAGGCACCGACUGGAAACUGGAAUGGGGCCCUCAGAGGGCACCUGGGCUGGAGGCCCCGGGAAGAGGAGCCAGGCCUCCUCUCUGACCUUGCCCCGCACCCUAAGAGCAGCCGUCCACAGCCUGCUGACAGUGAAGUCUUUCCUGGCCAUCAGCCCAGAACAAGAAAUCAACUUUUUGUCUGAAAGGCCUAUGGCCAGUAGGUUCUCAUGAGUUAUCUAUUUUACAUAUAAUAGUGUAUAUAUGUCAAUCCCAAUCUCCCAAUUCAUCUCACCCACCCCCAUGACUGAUCCACUUUGCUGUACAGCAGAAACUAACACAACACCGGAAAGCAGCUAUACUCCAAAAAAAAAAAUCAAAAACUUAAAAAUUUUUAAAAAGAGUCUAAAGACAGGCUGGAUCCAAAUGGAUUCCAGUUUAGAGACCUGCCCAGACCUUGAGGAAGUUCUCUUUUCUCUGCCUGCUCUUUCCCUUCACAUGGUCACCCAGGACUCUGUUGUCCUGAGCUAACCCCGGCCACCUCACUGAUACCCAUCACGGUUAGAUACCAUCCCCGGAGAGCGACCCCUCCCUUGGUCUUUCUCUUCUAAUCUCUACUCCUGAUAUCUAUCUUAUUCUUCCAAACCUGUCAAGGGACCUGGUUCCUAGUCCUGCUUUGGCUCUGACUUAACUCAGUGACAUUGAACAGUUUCCAGCCCUUCUCGGAGCCUUGGUGGCCCAUCUGUAAAAUGAGGCCCCAGAUGAUCCCUUUCAACGGUGACAUCCUAAGAUUCCGGGUUUGGAGACUCAACCUCAAGAAUCCUUACCAGAAGGUGCGCGUGAACAGGAAGCCACUGUGACUUUAGAAGAAGAGAACGACACAACAGAAAGUCUAAAGGAAAAAAAAAAAAAAAAUGGCCAAAGAAGAAUCCACUUAGCAAACAUGUGGAGCAUCUCCUACCAGCACUGGAGCUGCAAACAUGAAUGUGGAGCUCGAGAACUCAGAAGUCAAGGUGUUUAUAGUGGACUAAACCGACUUGUCAACAAAUGUUUCACAGUCUUCUGAUUUCUCUGUUCCCCAAUAUCCAUGCCCGUUGUGUACAGUUGUACAGGUUGUUCACUGCACAAGGGUACUGGCUCAGAGUUAGGAGGCACUGCAAAGCAGGCCAGGCUCCAUUCUGUAAGCAUGGGUCUACAGAACUAUGUCUUCCUUGGGGGUGGGGUGCUUUCUCCUAAUUCUCACAGACGUGUCACAUGGGCUGGCCCAGCCCUGCAGCAUUCGCAUUUGCCCUGCUCUGAUCCACUCAGCCCCAAAAGUGAUCAUCUUAGGUUCAAAAGGAUAACAUCACCUCCCCCGCCCAAACGCACACUCUCAUGAGUACUCCAUCAUCCUUAACUUGGCCUUCAAGCUCCUUCAUAAUCUGCCACCAUCUCCUUCCCCCGUGUACUCCACAGAGUACACAGACCACACACUGUUCCUCCACUUCCUUCAACAAGCCAUGCCCCCCUGCCCUUUGUGCACACUGUUCCCUCUGUCUGGAACAGCCCCUUUUCCCUGUUUGGACAUCGAAUACCUCCCAUCUCCAGAUCUCAGCUUAGACAUCAUUCUCUCCCAAAAGCCUUCUCUGAAUCCUCUGCGUGCCCACACCCUAACAGACCAGGUUCUUCUUUAUAUGGCCUCACAGCUCCUACGCUUCUCCAAAACGCUUGUCAGAAUUGUAAUUAAAUGAUUAGUAGUAUUCAUAGUGGAUUAUUGCCUUUCUCCCCCUAUGAAAUUAGAAGCUCCUGGAGCACGGGGACCAUGUUUCUUACGUGGUGUACAUGCUAUCUAUCUAUCUAUCUACUGGCUCCAUGCUGUAACCCCAGUACAUAUAGUUGGUGUUUAAUAAAUAAUUAUUGAAUAAAUGAAUGUUGUUCAAUAUAAUGAAGGCCAGUGGAGAGCUGAUUCCACUUGCCUGAGGAAGGAGCAGGUGCAGACAGGAGAGGCUGUCAAUAGGGGGGUCUCCUUGUUUCUGGGGGGCCUGGAAGGACAAGUGGAGCUCCCAGGGCACAGUGGCAACAGGCAGGAGGACUGAGCACGGGGCCCCCGGGAGCCUGCGGAGCGGGGUCACUUCUGGACCCGUGGCCAACACACAGACGUCAGAGGUCCCAUCUUUUCCAAUUUUCUGGGUGUCACAGAACACAGGCAGCCACUGUGCCUUUGCUGGUAACAUUUAUAAGAGAUUCCUCAAAUCUUCUGACUGGCUGAACAUGAACCACAUAUGGUCCCAAAUUCCAUCAUAAAACUGCAGUAUGGCUGCAAGAACCCUGACAUGCUGUCUUCACGUGGCUGCCAAUUUGGGGGCAGACUGUUCCCUUGUGGUCCAGGGAGAGCAGACCCAGGAGGCCGUAAUGAAUGCCUUCUCAAGGCAACCUUAAAAUGCUUUCAGCUGUGGGGCGGGCGACAUUGCCCCCCCCACCCCGCCCGCAUGGCACACAGCUUGUCCCAGUAGUGAAUUUAUCCCCAAUUCACUACUUUGCACAUGUUAAAUUUAAAUUACAUUUUUACAAGAUCAAGGACAUUUUCAAACCUAUUCAGAAUGGGAGAGAACAGUCAAGAGAACCUCAACCCAAUACCCCAGCUUCAAGAACGAUCAGUUCAUGGACAGUUUUGCUUGAUUUAUAUCCCUCCUCAAACUGGAUUAGUUUAAAUCAAGUUCCAGACGACACAGCAUGUUAUCUGUCAACGCUUCCAUUGGUUACUGCCUUUCAAAGCACAGGUAAUUAG
Molecule: long non-coding RNA, 14969 nt
Organism: Physeter macrocephalus (sperm whale)
Lineage: Eukaryota; Metazoa; Chordata; Mammalia; Artiodactyla; Physeteridae
Exons: 3
Source: RefSeq, a predicted model, not a curated record